UUGUGGCUAACACAAUCAGUCCAAUCAUUAUGAACACUUAAACAUUGGACUCCAGCUUUCUACAUGAAAAUCUGGAAGGGCCCACUGUUUAUUCCAAUAUACAAGCCCCAUAUUUCAUGUAUAUGAUCUCAUUUAACUAAACACUUGAACGGUUGAACCUGGUAUAUAACAUGGCCCAUAUAGCACAAUUAAAUAAUCCCCGCAUGAUUUUCGGCCCAACCAACGUUAAAACCCCAUGAGAUUCAUAUAAUUCUUUAAUUAAAAUAGUAGCAACCUAAAGUAAUUUGUUUUUUUUUUUUUU
This 301-nucleotide long non-coding RNA is filed under the name Helianthus annuus (common sunflower). Its description in RNAcentral is "sRNA HanXRQr2_Chr04g0142801". The record is from RNAcentral. Lineage: Eukaryota; Viridiplantae; Streptophyta; Magnoliopsida; Asterales; Asteraceae.